GGCAUAUGUACUGAUAAAGUCCCUUCUACUAAACUUUUAGAUUUCAUUUAUCGCACAGGUUUAUUUUAAAGCAGAUAUCUAUAUACUGCCAAAGUUUCAUCAAAUUCUGUUCAGCCAGUUUCGCGGGAAGCUGUGACAAAAUCUGGUUAGUGAUCCUCCAAUGUAUGAAAUGUAAAGAUAUCACUAGAGACAAAACCUUUCUUUUAUCGAUAUACAUAGUUACAUUAAAUGUGUGUGAUAAAUCAAUACUUCAUUAUAAUUGAACUGAGGGGUUUAAGUUCAAACUCUCUGAUCUUUGUCGUGUUUGCAGAGAAUCAGACAUGUAGGAUUGAAGAGAGUCAGAAUCAGACAGUAGAUAUAGAUGAGAUCAGACUCUGGAGAAAUCUCUUCAUCACAUCAGGAAUAAUAAACUGUGUUCUGAUUGUUGGAGUCACAGUCUCGAUCGUAAGCUGCUGUGGAAAAAACAACAAAUCACCAAACUGUGAUGUGAAGCUUCAAGAAGUCAGUGGAUCACAGAGCUGGUGGCCAAAAGCACAGAACGAAAGCAGCUACACUUUGGUGGAGUUUAUUCUGUUUCAGCCUGUGAUGUAACACACACAGACACACAGACACACACACACACACACACAGUGGUCAUUGUUUUUUUUCUAUAAGCUGUGCUACAUGAUUGCGGUUAUAGCCUGCACACAAACACAUCUCACACACACACUAAGGUGAACAGCUCCGUCUUCCGCUUCUCGUUUUGCAGUAACACUCUUACAGGAGUUUUUCUCCACAUGAUUAAAAUAAACCUUUCUCUAUGUUUUCGAUAUUUAACUGCUAAUAGUGUAAUAUUUCAAAAGUGAAGAUAGCUGGAGCUUUACUAUCUGUGUAACUGUUUAACACCAGAACAUCUAAUACAUACAUACACAUAAUAUGAAGUCUGUGUUCUUUCAAAUAAAGGCUCACUUUUAACCUGAUACUGUCUUAAUAUAUUCUCCUGUAUGGAACAAAUUGCCAUGUCAUGCAGUUAUAGAUAAAUAAUGAGUGAUGUGCUGGUGUAAUAAAGCAUGUAUAUAC
Long non-coding RNA from Clarias gariepinus (North African catfish), 1059 nucleotides. RefSeq lists it as uncharacterized. NCBI's taxonomy places the organism in Eukaryota, Metazoa, Chordata, Actinopteri, Siluriformes, Clariidae. The transcript is spliced from 3 exons. The record is from RefSeq and is a predicted model, not a curated record.